AAGACUGGGCUUACCGGAGGCAAGUGGCUAGUACUAUAAAUUCUCAACCCAGCAGGCCAUCAACGGACCGGUCCUUAAUCGACACAGUUGGAGACACUACUUUAAGACUCCAUUCUUAAAGCAAGUCCACCGACCGGUCUCAAAUUGAAACAUCAUUGAUCGUAAGUGUAUCCCACAACAACCCUUCCAACUUUCUUGUUUGAAAACCUAUCUAGUAACAGGGCUAAGCAUCGCUAUGCAGUUUUAAAAUAAAACAGGUGUCAAGGACAGGAUAACAGAUAUCAAGGUAGUAAAUGCAGCAAGUAGGUUAAUCCAAUUCUCAACUACCUAAUGCAGCAUUUUCAAUUCAUAAGUGAUAAAAGAUUUAAAACAUCCAAGGAGGGGUUAAUGCAUCCGGGGCUUGCCUUGGUUGCAGGGCAGAGAGGGACCCUCGGAGACUUCCCAAGUCUCGGAUCCGACUUCCUCGAACGGAGCACCGACCUCGAGGUUCGGUUCAACGGGCGCUCCUUCGGUCACGGACGCUAUACGCAAGAUGAUGAAUGCUUAUGAUAUGCGUAUGGUAAUUAUGCAAGAUGGACCGAAUUAAGUACAAUUUGCCUUUUUAAUGUAAUACAGAAUUGUCACUAAAUAAAGUUGUUUAAUAACUUAAUAUUUUUACCCAAGAGGUUGCAUCUGUAAACUAAGACUUUACUUAAUUCAUAAUUAUCUUAAAUUAAGUAAUUAUUAAACCUAUUUACCUUAAUUAAUUCUUAAUUAAUUACUAAUGACAGCAAUUAAGCAUUAAGGCUAAACAAUAAUUAAAUGCCAAAGGUCAUUAGGGUUAAUGACCUCAGGUCAUCACAUAAUCCAAAAUCACUCAACCCUAAUUAUGAGGACCUAAAUAACCACUAUUUAAUUAUUUUGGAAUUAUUACUUAAGUGUUAAAUAAGGGUUUAUUAAUAUUUUAAACAAACAUUAUCCAAAUGCCACCAAAUUUUGUGGGGAGCCAGGGAACAAUAUUCAGAGGCAUCUCACAAUUUUUGGUGAUUUUUGGACAUACUAACAAAUUAUUAAAAAUCAUACAAGUUUUAUUUGCUAAUUAAAAGGGCCAAUUUUUACAGAUAGGCAAACUACCAGAAAAAUAAUACUUAGUAUUUAUCUUAUGCUACAAACAUUUUAUGGAAGCUAUACAAAAAUUCUCAUGAUUUUUGGAUCAAUACAGAAUUUAUUAUUUGAGUUCAAAUAUCAAACACUUUUAAACAAAAAGGAAAAAGAAAAAAAAAACUAGCCACGCGGCCGGCCCGCUUGGCCUCGGCCCACGCUGGCUCGAGCGCUCGCUCCGAGCGGAUGGCGCGCGCGGCCCCCUCCCCUCACGCGGACACUGACGGGCGGGUCCCGCCCGUCAGUUCCGUCUUCUUCCUCGCGCCGCACUGCUCCGGCGAUCGCCCAGCGUCGCUGAGCCCUCCCCUGCGCUAACCAGUUGCCCCAUUAGGUUCGCCGCGACCCCC
RNAcentral lists this long non-coding RNA (1487 nucleotides) under Sorghum bicolor (sorghum). RNAcentral's name for it is "long non-coding RNA (SBIC_LNC012438)". The record is from RNAcentral. Lineage: Eukaryota; Viridiplantae; Streptophyta; Magnoliopsida; Poales; Poaceae.